RNAcentral lists this ribosomal RNA (345 nucleotides) under uncultured Lachnospiraceae bacterium. RNAcentral describes it as "partial 16S ribosomal RNA". The record is from RNAcentral. Lineage: Bacteria; Bacillati; Bacillota; Clostridia; Lachnospirales; Lachnospiraceae.
GGAGUUUGGGCCGUGUCUCAGUCCCAAUGUGGCCGGUCACCCUCUCAGGUCGGCUACUGAUCGUCGCCUUGGUGAGCCGUUACCUCACCAACUAGCUAAUCAGACGCGGGUCCAUCCUAUACCACCGGAGUUUUUCACACCAGACCAUGCGGUCCUGUGCGCUUAUGCGGUAUUAUCAGUCGUUUCCAACUGCUAUCCCCCUGUAUAGGGCAGGUUACCCACGCGUUACUCACCCGUCCGCCACUCAGUCACCUCAAUUGAUUCCACUUUGUGCAAGCACUCCAUUUCAUCGGGCGAGGUGCUUCGUUCGACUUGCAUGUGUUAAGCACGCCGCCAGCGUUCAUC